GGGAAAGUGCCUCGAAUAGUUACCCCCGCCCCCCUACACCCUUGCUUGAUCCUAUUUUCAUCUCAAACACGUUUUUAAUCGAAAAUUCAAGGAAAUCGCACGUUGACGUACUGCGGUGCGUGGUAUCUUUUUUAAGAACUACGAAGUCCUACACGUUUUUUUCCCCGGCCAAUUUUUAAUUAUAAGAACGCGAAAAUAUCCGAGCGUAAAACAUUAU
This is a non-coding RNA of Cinara cedri, 217 nucleotides long. The record is from the annotation of a GenBank genome assembly. Lineage: Eukaryota; Metazoa; Arthropoda; Insecta; Hemiptera; Aphididae.